Molecule: unclassified non-coding RNA, 200 nt
Filed under: soil metagenome
Description: partial contains internal transcribed spacer 2 and large subunit ribosomal RNA
Source: RNAcentral
GUUCGAGCGUCAUUACACCACUCAAGCCUGGCUUGGUAUUGGGCGACGGGACAGCUCCCGCGCCUCUAAUUGAUCGGCUGGACGGUUCGAAUCUCAGCGUUGUGGUCUCAUCAAAUCGCUGGCGAGGACGACCGGACGCGCCGUUAAACCCUCUAUCAAAGGUUGACCUCGGAUCGGGUAGGGAUACCCGCUGAACUUAA